GUAAAGGCCCUUUUCAGGGCCACCCACUAUUUGAUUUAAAUUUUUU
This is a non-coding RNA of Schistosoma rodhaini, 46 nucleotides long. The record is from Rfam. NCBI's taxonomy places the organism in Eukaryota, Metazoa, Platyhelminthes, Trematoda, Strigeidida, Schistosomatidae.